This is an RNA transcript of Adelges cooleyi (spruce gall adelgid), 3424 nucleotides long. RefSeq lists it as uncharacterized. The record is from RefSeq and is a predicted model, not a curated record. The transcript has 22 exons. NCBI's taxonomy places the organism in Eukaryota, Metazoa, Arthropoda, Insecta, Hemiptera, Adelgidae.
CUCAGUACCGUAGACAACCUUCUCAUAGGUUGUUUAUUCUUCUUAAAAAUAUCCAAUUUUGUUUCUAUUUAAAGUCACUAUGAAUAAUAAUGUUGUACUACUUAUUUUAUUCGGAAUAUUGUGUACUGAUACACUCGCCGACGUUUUCAUAUCUGAGAUAAAAUCCCACGACUUAGAUGAUUAUGACGUGACAACAAUUUAUGAGCUACAAGAUCCCCUCGACGGUUCCGUCGAAUGUUCUAGACCAGAUAAAUUGUUAGAUGAUGGCACAUUACCAUCGGAUUGUUUCUAUGACGUAUCAGUAAGUUCAAGGUCGAAUGCCAUUGGAAUGCCCAUAUAUUUCAAUGGAAAAGUUUUGACUUCCCGAAAUUAUGAUCUUGAAUUCAUAAUAGACUAUGAGUAUUCCAAUAAUAUUUUUACAAACAAUCACGUGGAACAUAAUGAGACAUUUGUAGUACUGAGGGGAUAUGUUUCCCUUAUGAAUACUAAUAAAAGGAUAUAUCCUGCUGGAGGUUUGAUCACUGGUAAAUACUUAAACGUAUUUGCUUCUUUAAACAUCAGUUGGACACCAUAUAAAACAUCUAAAGGAUGUAUAUCACUAACAUAUAAUUGGGAAGACCAAGCAGACAAUGAGGCAAAUGUAAAAAUUUACCAAAAAGACAAUAACAUUCCAAUGAUAUCAUAUAAAAUCAGUAAACCGGAUGGAUUGAACACAUUAAAACUACGGACUAAUGAUCUUUUUGUUAAAAAUACAACUUAUUUUUUAGUAAUUACCAGUCCAGAUACAAAGAAUGGUAGCUAUAGAAUAUUUGGAAUUAAAAGAAUAGCUCAAUGCGAUGAAGACAGUGACUCAUAUGUAAUACCUGGGAUACGUAUCAAGAAAGAUGACAUUGCAGCCAGCAUUUAUCAAAUUGAUGGAAAGAAACGAGUAGAUUCAACGCGUUUGCAAAAAGAGUGCGACCCGAAUAGGUUUGGAGCAGAUUGUUCUGGGACAUGUUCAAUUUAUAACACAUUUUGUGAGCGACAGUUAUUUUGUACUACACGUUAUGGAUGUUCAUGCGCAUCUGGAUAUUUUGGAGACUUUUGUGACCAAAAGUGUCUAUUAGGAACGUUCGGUCGUGAUUGUAAACAAAGGUGUAACGAGAAUUGCAUUUCAUGCGAUAUCUACACGGGCACAUGUACCGGUGGAUGCAAAAGAAAUUAUAUUUCACCGAACUGCACCGAAACAUAUCCACGGUUGAUCAAUCCCCCACAGUUAGUAUCAUCUGAUUUUACUUCUAUUAAACUCAAUUUAAGUUUUGCGAGUGAGAAUAUCGGCGGAAGCCAACAGCAAACUCCUUUAUACUAUCAAUUAGUCUACAAGCAAUCGACAAGCGAGUUAGAUUUUCAAUACUUGGAUAUUAAAGAAAAAGGAAGUUCUGUGUAUACAUUAGAAACAAUAGAUAAUUUAUUUUCGGAAACAGAGUACAUAUUUGGCGUAAUAUUAUUUACCGAAGAAGGAAAGCGCAACGACGAGAUUGUAUCUACGGCAUAUUAUAGAACUUCGUGUAUUGUCCCAGAGAACAUCGACUACGGAGUACAACUUUUGAGAGGUGCCAAUUAUAUCAACGUCACUUGGGAAAAAUACCACAGUGGCAACUCGCUUGAAUGCAGAAUCAACAAGUACACGUUGAAAUUAAUUUUCGACGAGAAAAAAGACUUGUACGAAGAAGCAAAUAGUACGUCCACUAAAUAUGUUUUUGAAAACUUAAUACCGGGCCACGUUUAUACUGUCCAAUUAACAGCGGUGACAGAUUUAGGUCACGUCGAACCGUCAGAAAUCUUCAACGCAACUACAAAUUAUGAACAUGGAGAUAUCGCUAUCAAAAAUAUAAAAGCCAAAAGCCACGAUACAAACACAGGUGUACAUUUAACGUGGGAGUUGAGAGAUUCGCACAUAGAUGCACCUAUAAGUUACAAGAUUCUGUACAAGAUCAAUCGAGUGUUUAGUUGUUCUUUUGGCCUCGUUAAUAGUACUGAUUGGACCGAAAUCCUCGUUUACAAUAAGACGGAAUACGACUUACGGAACUUGAUUCCAAAUUCUCAAUAUAUGAUACAAGUGCAAACGACCGCCGAUGUUUACACGCCAGGCAAUAUCGAUCAUAUGAUCUUUGUAAAAACCGCACCCUCGACACCGACGUUCGCGCCUGUUAUCGACCCGAGCCACCCGUUGUACUUUGAUAACGAAACAGCACUGAUAAAGUGGAUGGUCGAUAAACAAUAUUGUAUGAAACUCAAUGGACCUCCGAAGGGUUUCCAUUUAAUACUGAAGAAUUUAAAGAAUGGAACACAAAACGUUCAAGAAACGGAUGAAACCUCAAUAAAAUAUACUGGGCUAACGCCCAACACCGAUUACGAGUUACAAAUUUACAUAAAAACAACAAUAGGAUUUAACACUGUUUACAUGCUGUCGAUUCCAUUUAAAACAAAAACGGAGUUUUUAGCACCAGUAGAAGACUUGACUGUUUACAAAAAAAAUUCCAAGUUUAAAGCCGCUAGUCUUAGAUGGAAAUAUUCAAAUGAUUCCCAGGCUAAUGGUUUUAUAAUUCAUGUUUACAACGAAAAACAAAAAACGAUGGUAAAUCAAAUCACAAUGGAACCGUCGCCGUGUAAAGCAUGGCCAGACUACUAUUGUUCAACCGUUGUUGAUCUAACACCCAGUACUGAAUACACAAUUAAAAUGAAAGCCAAAUCAGUUGAUUAUCCAAACGGAGGAAUAUCGUCAUCUGUCAGUUUUAACACUAUCGAUGGUGCCCCAGACGAACCUGGAAAUCUUAGGAGUUCGUUUAUUGGCGACACUGACAUAACGCUGGAAUGGGAUAUACCGUGGAUGUUAAACGGUGUAUUAAAGGUCUUUAUCAUAAACACCGAGGAAAUAUCGGCCGUGGACUUAAAUUCGUGUUGCAACAGCUUGCCAACGGCGGAGUUGCAAGUCACCGAAGAAAUGCCAACUUAUAAUUAUACGAUAAACAAUCUGAAACCCGGUUCAACUUAUUCAAUUGAAGUGUUGUCGAAGACGACGUGGCACGGUCAAGCGAAGAAAAUACAAGUGACAACUUUGUCAGAUUCUCCGUCUCAAGUAUCAGAAACAUCAUAAAAAACAUUUGGAUUAUUUUAUUUUUAUUUAGACAAAAUUAAUAUACAUAUGAAAAGUUCAACAUUUUAGUUUCAAUUCCAUAUUCAGAGACCUCGUAGAGCUACUAAAAAUGAGGUUUUGAAAUCUUGUAUGAAUGCCUGUAAACCUGUGACCUCCUCGUCCAAUCAAUUCUAUGUUCCAACACCGCUGUACUGGCUUUUUUAUUGUUAAAAUAUUUUUAAAAAGUAAAUGAUUCUCUACAAGUAGAAGCAAAAAAAAUAACUUCACAGAAACCUAAUAAAAAUAUUA